This 504-nucleotide long non-coding RNA is filed under the name Elaeis guineensis (African oil palm). RNAcentral describes it as "long non-coding RNA (EGUI_LNC051710)". The record is from RNAcentral. Lineage: Eukaryota; Viridiplantae; Streptophyta; Magnoliopsida; Arecales; Arecaceae.
GGAUGGGGAGGAAGUGGAGGGGGAAGGAUGGGUUGCUGACAAGAAGGAUCCCAGGUGAAAGGGGUAGCUGUGGAGGGGAUAGCUUAUAGACGACUUGAAUGAGAAGGAAGAUGAGGAGAAAAAAUGGAUGAGGAAGGAAAGGAGGUAGAGAGAUAGAUGGAUUUGGAGGAGGAAGAGGAUGAGGAGGUGAUAGAGAAUGAGGAGAAAUGGAUAAGGAGGAAGGGGAGGAGGAGAGAGGGGCCACCGAUAAAAAAUGUGUUGGAGGAGGACAAGGAGGAGAAAAGGAUGGAGAGAAAGAAGAGAGGGAAGACAAGAUGAGAUGAAGGUGCAAGGGCUUGGUAUGGAGAGGAAUGGUUUAUAGGUGGCUUAGAAGAGAAGAAAAAUGAGGAGGAGAAGUGGAUGAGGAGGAAGGAAAGGAGAUGGAGGAAUAGGUGGAGGUAAAGAGAGUCACCAUAAAGGAGGAGAAAUGGAUGAGGAAAAAGAAAGGAGGAGAAAGAGGAGGAA